GACGUAGGGGGCGAGCGUUAUUCGGAAUUACUGGGCGUAAAGGGCGCGUAGGCGGCCUAGUGUGUUGGGGGUGAAAUCCCACGGCUCAACCCUGGGACUGCUCUUGAGACUGCUAGGCUCGAGGGUGGAAGAGGGAGAUGGAAUUCCCAGUGUAGCGGUGAAAUUCGUAGAUAUCGGGAAGAACGCCGGUGGUGAAGACGGUCUCCUGGGCUACUCCUGACGCUGAGGAGCGAAAGCGAGGGGAGCAAACGGG
RNAcentral lists this ribosomal RNA (253 nucleotides) under uncultured bacterium. Its description in RNAcentral is "partial 16S ribosomal RNA". It matches the Rfam family "Bacterial small subunit ribosomal RNA", at positions 524 to 776 of the family's 1533-position model. The record is from RNAcentral.